Molecule: ribosomal RNA, 842 nt
Filed under: uncultured bacterium
Lineage: Bacteria
Description: bacterial SSU rRNA
Rfam family: Bacterial small subunit ribosomal RNA
Source: RNAcentral
GAGUUUGAUCAUGGCUCAGAUUGAACGCUGGCGGUAGGCUUAACACAUGCAAGUCGUGCGAGAAAGUAUCUUCGGAUAUGAGUAGAGCGGCGGACGGGUGAGUAACGCGUAGGAAUCUACCUAGUAGAAGGGGAUAGCCCGGGGAAACCCGGAUUAAUACCGUAUACCUCCUUCGGGAGAAAGAAGGCCUCUCUUUGAAGCUUUCGCUAUUAGAUGAGCCUGCGUAAGAUUAGCUUGUUGGUGAGGUAAAGGCUCACCAAGGCGACGAUCUUUAGCUGGUCUGAGAGGACGAUCAGCCACAUUGGGACUGAGACACGGCCCAGACUCCUACGGGAGGCAGCAGUGGGGAAUAUUGGACAAUGGGCGCAAGCCUGAUCCAGCCAUACCGCGUGUGUGAAGAAGGCCUUCGGGUUGUAAAGCACUUUAAGCAGGGAGAAAAAGUUAUAAGAUAAUACCUUAUAACCGUGAUGUUACCUGCAGAAUAAGCACCGGCUAAUUCCGUGCCAGCAGCCGCGGUAAUACGGAAGGUGCAAGCGUUAAUCGGAAUUACUGGGCGUAAAGCGCGCGUAGGUGGUUUGUUAAGUUGGAUGUGAAAGCCCUGGGCUCAACCUAGGAACUGCAUCCAAAACUAACUCACUAGAGUACGAUAGAGGGAGGUAGAAUUCAUAGUGUAGCGGUGGAAUGCGUAGAUAUUAUGAAGAAUACCAGUGGCGAAGGCGGCCUCCUGGAUCUGUACUGACACUGAGGUGCGAAAGCGUGGGUAGCGAACAGGAUUAGAUACCCUGGUAGUCCACGCCGUAAACGAUGACAACUAGCUGUUGGAAGACAACGUCUUUCAGUGG